This 460-nucleotide ribosomal RNA is filed under the name uncultured Bdellovibrio sp. RNAcentral describes it as "bacterial SSU rRNA". It matches the Rfam family "Bacterial small subunit ribosomal RNA", at positions 29 to 505 of the family's 1533-position model. Lineage: Bacteria; Pseudomonadati; Bdellovibrionota; Bdellovibrionia; Bdellovibrionales; Pseudobdellovibrionaceae. The record is from RNAcentral.
AGCAAACGCUGGCGGCGUGCCUAAUACAUGCAAGUCGAACGAGGAAAGCACUUCGGUGCGAGUAUGAGUGGCGCACGGGUGAGUAACGCGUGGAUAAUCUGCCCUCUAGUGGGGAACAACCUAUCGAAAGGUAGGCUAAUACCGCAUAAGACCACAGUUUCUGCGGAAACAGUGGUCAAAGAUUUAUCGCUAGAGGAUGAGUCCGCGUAGGAUUAGUUUGUUGGUGAGGUAAUGGCUCACCAAGACUACGAUCUUUAACUGGUUUGAGAGGAUGAUCAGUCACACUGGAACUGAGACACGGUCCAGACUCCUACGGGAGGCAGCAGUAGGGAAUAUUGCGCAAUGGGGGAAACCCUGACGCAGCGACGCCGCGUGAGUGAUGAAGGCCUUAGGGUCGUAAAGCUCUGUCGUGAGGGAAUAAUUUUGAAGGUACCUCACAAGAAAGGACCGGCUAACUUCG